CAACUUUUGACAAUGGAUCU
RNAcentral lists this ribosomal RNA (20 nucleotides) under uncultured Neocallimastigales. Its description in RNAcentral is "partial 5.8S ribosomal RNA". The record is from RNAcentral. Lineage: Eukaryota; Fungi; Neocallimastigomycota; Neocallimastigomycetes; Neocallimastigales.